CUCAGUCCUGGAGGCUGAAGUCUUCUAUUUAUCCACAGAAAAGUUAAAGCACAGGCAUCAUCAAAUGCUUAAAUGCCACAUUCUGCACCAGUGUGCCUCAAACCUAGAGGGAAUUUGUGGUAGUUCAACCUCCAUGCCCCUUAAUCCUUGGCCUCU
Molecule: small RNA, 156 nt
Filed under: Chrysemys picta bellii (western painted turtle)
Lineage: Eukaryota; Metazoa; Chordata; Testudines; Emydidae
Description: TUC338 (ENSCPBG00000025351.1)
Source: RNAcentral